CGGGGUAAGAGGAGGGGGAGGGUGCGGAGCCCUGCCGGCGGCCGGAGGACCGGCGGGCGCUGACUGCGACCACCGCUCUCGGGCAGCGGACGCGCUGCUUUGGAAGAUGAGGUCAGCACCGCGGAGCUUUCCUGAAACACACCCCCCCCCCCCCCCCAAAAAAGAAAAAAACAAGCGCAGCCCGCCCCGCCCUGGCCUGGGCAGCAGCGGCGGCGGGGGCAGCAGCACGCCGGCUGGUGGGCGCGGGGCGCGAGGGGCGCUCCCCGUGGCCGCGGCCGCUCAGUCCGGGAUCUGGGCUCCGUCAGACUUCCGGGAGAGAGGAGGUUUUUCUUCUCCAAAAUCCACCAGACUCCUUUGAUGCGCUUUUGUUUUACAGUGGAAAACUACAAUAAAAAAAACAUAGCCAUGAAAAUAAGUGAGAUUAAAACCUGCCGGCUUCACUUCCUGGAGGCUUUUUGUUGGGUCUUGAAACUAGGAGUCUUUGCGGGUCAUCCUUAAAUUCACCUUGACAGAUUCAACCAAUGAGAAACUGAGUCUGCGUACAUUCCCUAAAGACAGGCGCUAUGGAAUGUCCGGAUUCCCUCCAUUCUGCAUUUGCCCAAGAUGCAGCAAGACAUAGGGGUGCCUGUGGUCUCAGGAAUUAAACAGACCUGGUUUGGAUUCCCACUAGGUACUUGCUGUGCAGUGUUAGGCAAGUUAUUUACUAUCCUUGAGCUUGUUUCCUUAAAAAUAGAUAUAAUAAAACUACCCCUUUGAAUUAUUGAAUAUUAAGUAGUUAUAUGUGAAAAGCAUGUUAAACAGUCCCUGGUCCACAGGAACCACCCAAAAUAUUAAUUUCUCAUGCCCGUGGGAUUUCAGUUACUAAUGCGGAUAUUUGAGAGAGAAUUCUUACUAGAUCUUUUUUCUCGUCUACGAAAUCCUACUUUAGUAGAAUCCAAACUUUGGUGUGUGUGAGACUUACCUGGAUACUUGAUUACAGUGCUAGUUUCUGGGUCCCUCUUCUAAGGUAUAGGAAGUCUCAAGUAGGGCCCUGGGGUUUGACAUUUUAACAUUUAAUUCUGGGGCACGAGUCCUCAGCCCUCACUCUGACAGUCCCCGUUCCGGACUUGGCCCUGGUCAUUCAAGGGAGUGAGGUGGAGACAGAGGAAGGCCUGAGCCGAGUCCCAGGCUGGUCCUGGCAGCUUGCUGAUCCCGAGGCUGGAUUGGAUGCCUCCCUGCAUCCCUAUGGCCAGCUCCUGGAUCCACAGGCAUUUACUGAGCACCUGCUGGAAAGUGCCCUGAGCGGGCGCCAGGCACGCAAGGUCAGGCCUGGCAUUUGGGUCCCAGUUUCUGCAUUUCCUACCGUCCAGCAUUUAAUACCGUCCCAAAUGGCUGUAUUCCCAAAGACACUCCUUGAUCUCAUCAGCGCCUCUCUCCCCCCAUCCCCCCACCCGGAACCAUGCUUUCCCAAGUCACACUGCAGCGACUUCUGCAUUACACAAGGACACUUAGCAUAGCACUGCUUAGGUGCUCAUUAGAUGUUUGUGGAAUUUAAUUUCCUUGGACAAAUAUGUCUUCUGAAACUUAGUUUAUGUUCAUUCACUCAUCAAAUAUUUAUAAGCCAGGAACUGUUCCAGAAGCUGGGGAUAACUGUCAUGAACAAAAUGUAACAUCUCUGCCCACGUGGAACUUCUAUUCCAGUUGGGGAAGAAAGGCCAUAUCCACAACCUACUCUGAAUUCUUGCAUAUUGGGUUGUUGUCUCUACCCGGACAUUUGCUGCAAUCUUGUUUGCUCUGACUGCUACCUCAGUUACCUGCCAAAUGGCCUUCUUUCCCAACCCUGGUCUACACAACCCUUACUCAGCGGCGAUUCUAUCUGAGGCCAAAGAGCAAACCGGUUAUCUUAUUGCAUCUUGAACCAGUGUCUGCAUAUCUCCUCUAGGCUUUAACCAAGAUCAGCCAUUCAUUUCCAAAUGC
This is a long non-coding RNA of Aethalodelphis obliquidens (Pacific white-sided dolphin), 1956 nucleotides long. RefSeq lists it as uncharacterized. The record is from RefSeq and is a predicted model, not a curated record. Lineage: Eukaryota; Metazoa; Chordata; Mammalia; Artiodactyla; Delphinidae. The transcript has 2 exons.